Molecule: non-coding RNA, 70 nt
Organism: Dipodomys ordii (Ord's kangaroo rat)
Lineage: Eukaryota; Metazoa; Chordata; Mammalia; Rodentia; Heteromyidae
Source: Rfam
GGGAAGAUGGCUCAGUGGUAGAGUGCUUGCCUUGCAUGCAUGAGGCCCUGGGUUUGAUUCCUCAGUACCA